UGAGUAACCUGCCCUUAACUCUGGGAUAAGCCUGGGAAACUGGGUCUAAUACCGGAUAUGACUCCUCAUCGCAUGGUGGGGGGUGGAAAGCUUUAUUGUGGUUUUGGAUGGACUCGCGGCCUAUCAGCUUGUUGGUGAGGUAAUGGCUCACCAAGGCGACGACGGGUAGCCGGCCUGAGAGGGUGACCGGCCACACUAGGACUGAGACACGGCCCAGACCUCCGUACGGGAGGCAG
RNAcentral lists this ribosomal RNA (236 nucleotides) under uncultured bacterium. RNAcentral describes it as "partial 16S ribosomal RNA". It matches the Rfam family "Bacterial small subunit ribosomal RNA", at positions 118 to 351 of the family's 1533-position model. The record is from RNAcentral.